Molecule: ribosomal RNA, 499 nt
Filed under: uncultured bacterium
Lineage: Bacteria
Description: bacterial SSU rRNA
Rfam family: Bacterial small subunit ribosomal RNA
Source: RNAcentral
GAUGAACGCUAGCUACAGGCUUAACACAUGCAAGUCGAGGGGAAACGAUAUUGGAAGCUUGCUUCUGAUAGGCGUCGACCGGCGCACGGGUGAGUAACGCGUAUCCAACCUGCCCAUCACUUGGGGAUAACCUUGUGAAAGUAAGACUAAUACCCAAUGACGUCUCUAGAAGACAUCUGAAAGAGAUUAAAGAUUUAUCGGUGAUGGAUGGGGAUGCGUCUGAUUAGCUUGUUGGCGGGGUAACGGCCCACCAAGGCGACGAUCAGUAGGGGUUCUGAGAGGAAGGUCCCCCACAUUGGAACUGAGACACGGUCCAAACUCCUACGGGAGGCAGCAGUGAGGAAUAUUGGUCAAUGGACGAGAGUCUGAACCAGCCAAGUAGCGUGCAGGAUGACGGCCCUAUGGGUUGUAAACUGCUUUUAUAAGGGAAUAAAGUGAGUCUCGUGAGACUUUUUGCAUGUACCUUAUGAAUAAGGACCGGCUAAUUCCGUGCCAGCAG